This 497-nucleotide ribosomal RNA is filed under the name uncultured bacterium. RNAcentral describes it as "partial 16S ribosomal RNA". It matches the Rfam family "Bacterial small subunit ribosomal RNA", at positions 28 to 507 of the family's 1533-position model. The record is from RNAcentral.
GAUGAACGCUGGCGGCGUGCCUAAUACAUGCAAGUCGAGCGAACAGAUAAGGAGCUUGCUCCUUUUACGUUAGCGUCGGACGGGUGAGUAACACGUUUGUAACCUACCUAUAAGACAGGAGUAACUCCGGGAAACCGGAGCUAUUACCGGAUAACAUUUAGAACCGCAUGGUUCUAAAGUACAUGAUGGUUUUGCUGUCACUUAUAGAUGGGUCCGCGCCGUAUUAGCUAGUGGGUAAGGUAACGGCUUACCAAGGCAACGAUACGUAGCCGACCUGAGAGGGUGAUCGGCCACACUGGAACUGAGACACGGUCCAGACUCCUACGGUAGGCAGCAGUAGGGAAUCUUCCGCGAUGGGCGAAAGCCUGACGGAGCAACGCCGCGUGAGCGAUGAAGGUCUUCGGAUCGUAAAACUCUGUUAGUAGGGAAGAACAAAUGUGUAAGUAACUGUGACCGUCUUGACGGUACCUAAUCAGAAAGCCACGGCUAACUACGUG